UGGGGAAUAUUGGACAAUGGGGGGAACCCUGAUCCAGCCAUGCCGCGUGUGUGAAGAAGGCCUUAUGGUUGUAAAGCACUUUAAGCGAGGAGGAUGGUACUGGUAUUAAUACUACCAGCUACUGGACGUUACUCGCAGAAUAAGCACCGGCUAACUCUGUGCCAGCAGCCGCGGUAAUACAGAGGGUGCGAGCGUUAAUCGGAUUUACUUGGCGUAAAGCGUGCGUAGGCGGCUAAUUGAGUCGGAUGUGAAAUCCCCGAGCUUAACUUGGGAAUUGCAUUCGAUACUGGUUAGCUAGAGUGUGGGAGAGGAUGGUAGAAUUCCAGGUGUAGCGGUGAAAUGCGUAGAGAUCUGGAGGAAUACCGAUGGCGAAGGCAGCCAUCUGGCCUAACACUGACGCUGAGGUACGAAAGCAUGGGGAGCAAACAGG
This 430-nucleotide ribosomal RNA is filed under the name Pseudomonadota bacterium. Its description in RNAcentral is "Proteobacteria bacterium partial 16S ribosomal RNA". It matches the Rfam family "Bacterial small subunit ribosomal RNA", at positions 355 to 776 of the family's 1533-position model. Lineage: Bacteria; Pseudomonadati; Pseudomonadota. The record is from RNAcentral.